RNAcentral lists this long non-coding RNA (1246 nucleotides) under Brassica napus (rape). RNAcentral's name for it is "long non-coding RNA (BNAP_LNC010276)". Lineage: Eukaryota; Viridiplantae; Streptophyta; Magnoliopsida; Brassicales; Brassicaceae. The record is from RNAcentral.
UUGGGUUUAGGAUAUAGAGUUUAGGUUUAUAGUCUAGUUUUUGGGUUUAUGGUAUAUAAUUAUGGUUUAGGGUUUAGGAUUAGGGUUUAGGAUAUAUGGUUUGGGUUUAGGGGUUUGAAUUUGGGUUUAGUUUUUAGGGUAUAGAGUUUAGAAUUUAAAAUUUAGCUGAAAACGUUAGCGUCAUUAAAAUUAGCAUUUUUAGUUUUUGGUGAACCUAAGUUCUGUCCAUAGAUAAACCCUAUCUUGCUUUGAACGGAUUCCGCAUAUUUCAUGCGACUUGGCAAUCCUAUCUUUUUUUUAUUUUUUUUUGUCAACUGGUUUCAUUGAUCUAGCCCAUUGGGCAAUUAUUACAUUUAGUAUCAGAUUUUACAUGGAAGAGAAGCCCACUAAAUAAUCCAUUACAAACCCCAAUUAGAUAAGCAUCCGGAAGUUCUCCACGUGCUUGAGCGAUCCUUCCUAAGACACGCGUCCUACAUGCGUUGAACGGCAAACUCCGGCCGCACUGCAGAUUGUCACCACCGUAGAUCACCCGACGUCGCCAUAUCCCAAUCAAGCAGAGAUGCUCAAAAUUGGGUAUUCCGAUACCAAAUGCAAAACCCUCCACCUUAACCGUGGAUAACUGAGAAAAGUAACCUUGAUUCACCAUAAUUUUCACCAUAAUUAAGUCUAGGGAAGCUUAAAUCAAGUAGAAGAAAAUCCUUUGCCAGACCGCUGAAGAAUAGCGCCAGUUCUUUUGAAUUUUCUUCUUUCAUGAUUUGAAAAAUCCAUUAACUCCUCCCUCUUUCUGUCAGAGUUGCUUCGCUUUGCACUUAUGGCUGAACUAUUUGCGAAGACUGAUUUUCCUAGCAAGAACUCAGAGUGAACGUUGAAAAAAGAACUAAACCCACCAUCCAUCGGAAUAAAAUUGAGAACGAAGUGGAAGGCAAUAUACAAAAACUUUAUUUAGUUUAAACCCAAAUCAGAAUAAGAUAUAGAGUGAAAAGCAGUUCUGAUUUGAGUAAAAACAUAACACACCACAAAAGAUAGCCUAACGAAGAUUUAUCGCAACACAAGACAGAGAAUCGAUCCGUAGAUCAAAAGUAUAAACAGAUAAAAACAAAAGGAAAACAUAUGGUAACAGGCGGCUGAAGAGCCACCGGCCACCGACAGACAACUUUGAUGAAGCGGCUCUUGUAGAGAGAAGUUAGAGCAAAUAAAUAGAGAAAAAAGUUACUUGGCAAUCCUAUCUUUCCAAUUUGUUUCUGUC